AGUGAACGCUGGCGGUAGGCCUAACACAUGCAAGUCGAACGGCAGCACAGUAAGAGCUUGCUCUUACGGGUGGCGAGUGGCGGACGGGUGAGGAAUACAUCGGAAUCUACUUUUUCGUGGGGGAUAACGUAGGGAAACUUACGCUAAUACCGCAUACGACCUACGGGUGAAAGCAGGGGAUCUUCGGACCUUGCGCGAUUGAAUGAGCCGAUGUCGGAUUAGCUAGUUGGCGGGGUAAAGGCCCACCCAGGCGACGAUCCGUAGCUGGUCUGAGAGGGUGAUCAGCCACACUGGAACUGAGACACGGUCCAGACUCCGACGGGAGGCAGCAGUGGGGAAUAUUGGACAAUGGGCGCAAGCCUGAUCCAGCCAUACCGCGUGGGUGAAGAAGGCCUUCGGGUUGUAAAGCCCUUUUGUUGGGAAAGAAAAGCAGCAGGUUAAUACCCCGCUGUUCUGACGGUACCCAAAGAAUAAGCACCGGCUAACUUCGUG
Molecule: ribosomal RNA, 492 nt
Filed under: uncultured bacterium
Lineage: Bacteria
Description: partial 16S ribosomal RNA
Rfam family: Bacterial small subunit ribosomal RNA
Source: RNAcentral